AGAGUUUGAUCCUGGCUCAGGAUGAACGCUGGCGGCGUGCUUAACACAUGCAAGUCGAGCGAAGCACUUUUGCGGAUUUCUUCGGAUUGAAGCAAUUGUGACUGAGCGGCGGACGGGUGAGUAACGCGUGGGUAACCUGCCUCAUACAGGGGGAUAACAGUUGGAAACGGCUGCUAAUACCGCAUAAGCGCACAGUACCGCAUGGUACCGUGUGAAAAACUCCGGUGGUAUGAGAUGGACCCGCGUCUGAUUAGCUAGUUGGUGGGGUAACGGCCUACCAAGGCGACGAUCAGUAGCCGACCUGAGAGGGUGACCGGCCACAUUGGGACUGAGACACGGCCCAAACUCCUACGGGAGGCAGCAGUGGGGAAUAUUGCACAAUGGGGGAAACCCUGAUGCAGCGACGCCGCGUGAGCGAUGAAGUAUUUCGGUAUGUAAAGCUCUAUCAGCAGGGAAGAAAAUGACGGUACCUGACUAAGAAGCCCCGGCUAACUACGUGCCAGUAGCCGCGGUAAUACGUAGGGGGCAAGCGUUAUCCGGAUUUACUGGGUGUAAAGGGAGCGUAGACGGCAUGGCAAGCCAGAUGUGAAAGCCCGGGGCUCAACCCCGGGACUGCAUUUGGAACUGUCAGGCUAGAGUGUCGGAGAGGAAAGCGGAAUUCCUAGUGUAGCGGUGCAAUGCGUAGAUAUUAGGAGGAACACCAGUGGCGAAGGCGGCUUUCUGGACGAUGACUGACGUUGAGGCUCGAAAGCGUGGGGAGCAAACAGGAUUAGAUACCCUGGUAGUCCACGCCGUAAACGAUG
Molecule: ribosomal RNA, 803 nt
Filed under: uncultured bacterium
Lineage: Bacteria
Description: bacterial SSU rRNA
Rfam family: Bacterial small subunit ribosomal RNA
Source: RNAcentral